This is a long non-coding RNA of Ceratina calcarata, 881 nucleotides long. RefSeq lists it as uncharacterized. Lineage: Eukaryota; Metazoa; Arthropoda; Insecta; Hymenoptera; Apidae. The record is from RefSeq and is a predicted model, not a curated record. The transcript is spliced from 3 exons.
CGGAUUAGAAUCUCUUUCGCCACGUUCUCCAACGAAGAAACCAACACGGUGCCAGUUCGCCGGUUCCGCGAGACGGUCCGUCAAGCAGACCUUACCGCGGUGUGUUUGCGCGUUUAUGCAAACCAGCCUAUUAGCGGGAAACCGACGUGCGUCAAUCCGUUUUAAAAGUGGCACGUCAAACUCGCGAGGCAGCCACGGGAGAAAGAGAUCCAGAGAAACACGUGUGCACGCUCGUCAAAGAGAAACGUAUUCAUACGACUCGUUAACGGCUCGUUAAACGUGCGGAUAGCGCGUGAACACGAACUGAAUUCGCAGUCUGCUUUACGAUGGUAUCAUCGUUCAAUUUCAGAAGACAUGGAAGAUACGAAUAGAUAUUAUGAAGAUGUCGCCGAAUGAGCCCCACCACGGGGAUCAACGGGCACGUGCGAAGCGUUUACAAAACGCUUACGCGUACCACAGGCCCCGAGUACACAUCGUUGCCAGCCGCAUUAUCUGAUGGUACCGACAUACGUCUUCGCUGUCAGCCAAUCGUUAAGGAAACAAUCAGACACGCCGGAGACAGAUCGGCUGCCAACCACCUCUUCCCUCUACCCCUUCGCGCUGUCGUCGUCUUUUUCAUUUUCUACUAUUUUUUAUCCCGACAUUCGUAUCAAUCUUUCUGAUCCCGAUGUCUGCAAUCCUUUCUUUUCAAUCAUAAAUUAUAUCAGUGUUCCUGCACCAGAUCCAGUUUAACGGAUUAUACAAUCCACAAUUAAAUUCAGUUCUAACGAUGAUAUUGAGACAAUGAUUAGAAUGUAAUUGACAUUGUACAAUAGAAGGCUGUGUUCAGAAGUAUGUUAGAGUGGGAAGAAGAGCCAGGAAAAUGUGAUACAAAUAAUAAA